This 136-nucleotide ribosomal RNA is filed under the name Microcebus murinus (gray mouse lemur). The record is from RNAcentral. Lineage: Eukaryota; Metazoa; Chordata; Mammalia; Primates; Cheirogaleidae.
GUCUAUAGCCAUACCACCUGAACGCACCCGAUCUCAUCUGAUCUCACAAGCUAAGCAGGGUUGAUCCUGGUUAGUACUUGGAUUGGAGAAAAAAACAAACCCAUUUUCUGAAAAGAAAAAAACAAACCACUAGGCU